UCUCUCUCUCUCUCUCUCUCUCUCCCCUCUUUAUCUUCAGAACUCACUCUCUCCCUAAAACACCGAGAGAAGAGAGCUCUCACUCUUCCACUUACCUUCACAAAUCAACCUAAAUCUCUACAUAUUUGAAGUCUGUGGGAUGCAAGGAUCACAAUGGUGGUCUUGUAUGUGAGAUCGGUGCAGUGUGGACCUCGACACCAUUAGAGCCGAGAGCUUGAAGCUCUCAAACUCAAACCCAGGCAUGGUCUCUGCUUACCCCUUGAAUUUCUGUGUUUAACCUUAUCAUUUUUCACUCUGUGAUGUUAAUUUUAUGUUGAAACUCGAGGGUUUCAACCUCUGCAACUUUUUUGCAUACGAAUCCAGCCCUAACGACCGGCAAAAUGUCGUUGAGUUUGAAGUCGGCUGGUGUUGGUGAUCCAUCCAUUCUCUCUCUAUCUCUUGUAUCUGGGAUGUUUGGAUGAGGCUUUUGAGCUAUGUGGGCAAGAGAAGGAGGACGAACUCCAGCGAGUUCGAGCCAUGAUUCACCCCCAUUCCCGCUACAUGUGUUUCCGACGAGUUUUUUUGAGCAAAAACUGUUGAAUCCGAGGUGGAUUCAAUCUCUCAUCCUUCUAAACUAGUUUUAGAUUCCGGCGACCGCCGUUUGACGGCUACAGUGACGGUGCCGUUAGCUUUAACGGCAUAUCUUUCCUCAUCAUGUAUAUUCCGUUAUCUUUGUUGAACCUCACCGCACCAAAACGUGGCUCUGGCGACGACGAGUGUGACAUCUACUUGUUGAACCGCGACGGCGAGUACAACAAUGCGUUCACCGACAACGGUGGCUCACAAUGGCAUGUGACACCACUGCGGCAACGUGUGGUGGCGCGUGGCCGGAGCACAACGGCAUGUGCGGAGGUUUAUUAGAGGAUACAAAGAGAUCAAGCAAGGAGCCUAUUGACAAGGAACGCUCUGCUUACCUGAAGUAACGAGAAUAAGAAGAACACCAGUGGUGACGAGUGGGCUUGGCAGUGAGGUUUUCAUCCCUUGGAUUUAGAGCGAUAGUUCAUUUACUUUAGUUUUAUCUUAAUUGUAAUAAUUGCAUGAUCGCACUUUUGAUAAUGCCCAACAUCGCACUUUUCUAUGUUUACUGUUGUAUGAAACUUCUAGCUGCUUUAAUGUGAUGUGAUAAUAACGGGAUUUAAUCCCAA
Molecule: long non-coding RNA, 1184 nt
Organism: Pyrus x bretschneideri (Chinese white pear)
Lineage: Eukaryota; Viridiplantae; Streptophyta; Magnoliopsida; Rosales; Rosaceae
Exons: 5
Source: RefSeq, a predicted model, not a curated record